Molecule: long non-coding RNA, 213 nt
Filed under: Elaeis guineensis (African oil palm)
Lineage: Eukaryota; Viridiplantae; Streptophyta; Magnoliopsida; Arecales; Arecaceae
Description: long non-coding RNA (EGUI_LNC056427)
Source: RNAcentral
AGUAAUUUAAGUAUCACAAUGAUGAAAAUUUUUAAAAAUUUAAUACAUAUUUUUUCUUAUUUUUCAGGCAAAAAUUAGAGCAAAAAUCAAGUCAAAAUAUCCUAAAAAUAAAAAAUAUUACUUUUGAUGUAUGGUGGACCGGUCGCUCGGUCCAUAGAGUCAAUGGCGCGGUCCAUCGAGAACGUUACAUGGUCCACAGGCAUGGCUUAUGGU